GACGAACGCUGGCGGCGUGCCUAAUACAUGCAAGUAGAACGCUGAAGAGAGGAGCUUGCUCUUCUUGGAUGAGUUGCGAACGGGCGAGUAACGCGUAGGUAACCUGCCUGGUAGCGGGGGAUAACUAUUGGAAACGAUAGCUAAUACCGCAUGACAUUGAUUAUCGCAUGAUAAUUGAUUGAAAGAUGCAAUUGCAUCACUACCAGAUGGACCUGCGUUAUAUUAGCUAGUUGGUGAGGUAACGGCUCACCAAGGCGACGAUACAUAGCCGACCUGAGAGGGUGAUCGGCCACACUGGGACUGAGACACGGCCCAGACUCCUACGGGAGGCAGCAGUAGGGAAUCUUCGGCAAUGGGGGGAACCCUGACCGAGCAACGCCGCGCGAGUGAAGAAGGUUUUCGGAUCGUAAAGCUCUGUUGUAAGAGAAGAACGGGUGUGAGAGUGGAAAGUUCACACUGUGACGGAUCU
RNAcentral lists this ribosomal RNA (469 nucleotides) under Streptococcus sanguinis. RNAcentral describes it as "bacterial SSU rRNA". It matches the Rfam family "Bacterial small subunit ribosomal RNA", at positions 28 to 480 of the family's 1533-position model. The record is from RNAcentral. Lineage: Bacteria; Bacillati; Bacillota; Bacilli; Lactobacillales; Streptococcaceae.